This 150-nucleotide ribosomal RNA is filed under the name Acholeplasma oculi. RNAcentral describes it as "partial 23S rRNA. Bacterial LSU". It matches the Rfam family "Bacterial large subunit ribosomal RNA", at positions 2767 to 2925 of the family's 2925-position model. Lineage: Bacteria; Bacillati; Mycoplasmatota; Mollicutes; Acholeplasmatales; Acholeplasmataceae. The record is from RNAcentral.
AACGCUGAAAGCAUCUAAGCGUGAAGCCCACCUUGAGAUGAGAUCUCCCAAUUAGUAAGACCCCUUGAAGACCACAAGGUUGAUAGGCUAGGUGUGUAAGCAUAGUGAUAUGUUCAGCUGACUAGUACUAAUAGGUCGAGGACUUAACCU